This 2300-nucleotide small RNA is filed under the name Pan troglodytes (chimpanzee). RNAcentral describes it as "retained intron". The record is from RNAcentral. Lineage: Eukaryota; Metazoa; Chordata; Mammalia; Primates; Hominidae.
AUAACGAGGACACAGUGAGUGAGAGGGUACAAUAAUGAGAGGGAGGAAGCGGAAGACUGUUGAAGCUAAAAUCAGAAAUCACUGUGAUCAUUCUCUAGGUCAGUGGAUCCUGCUGUGCCAUACGUUGGAAUCACCUUGGAAUCAGCUGGGGAUCUUUAAAGGUGUUUCUGCCUGGCUCCCCACCCCAGACCUUGUGAUUUAAUUCACCAGGGGUGUGGCAUGGCAUUGGGGUUUCCAAAGGCUUCCCAUGUGAUCCUAAUAUGCAGCCACGUUUGUGAACUCCUGCACUAGGCAGUGAGAACGCUUCCUUCUGAGUUGAGGCUGCCUGAACCUCAAAGGCAUCUCAACGUUGUGUCAAUGCCUAAAUGCACUCUUCGGCUCAUGUAGCAACUUCUAGAGCUGCGUCCGAAUCACAGAGGAAAUUAACUGUUGAAAAUAAUGUUUGAUUGAGUUACCAUGGGCAUGCUAAAUUAUGUUUAUGUCCCUAAAAAGUGUUUUUCAUCGUUCUCUAAUGUUAGGAUGGUCGGAUGUCUGAAGGAAAGUGUUGGAAUUCUUAAAAGUACUAGAAAUCUUGAAACCAAGUUAUGUUUUUAAAUAUGUUUUGAAUUUGAUAGCUUAUUAAAUUGUAAUUAUUUAUAGUCAUGUUUAACACUGGCAAGAGGAGCCAUCUAAAGUUUAUGAAAUAAAUCUUUUUGACAUGGAAAGAUAUGAAGUGGAAAAACUUUUUUGUAAAAAACAUAUAUAGAUACAGUACACAAAAAUAUAUCUGAAAACUGUUGCUCAAAAUAUCAAUAGAGGUUAUCUUUGAGGGUAAAGCUUGAGUAAUUUUUAGUUUCAUUUUAUAUUUCUGUUUUAUUUCAAGUUUUUCACAUUGCAUGUGUUUUAGUUUAUUAAUCAGAAAAAGUAGUAAAGCUGCUGCCAUUUCAGAGGGAAUGCAUGUGUGCCAUUUUAGAGGGAAUGAAUUUAUAGCAGCAGUUAAAACUGUUUCUUUAUGCUACAAAUGACAGUCAGUUUAAGAUGAAAUGCAUUUAAAUGACUCUGAUCUUAUUUCUAGGCACUAGGUGAGCUCUGUGAAACCAAGUUUGGGAAGACACACCCUGUGUGCAAUUUGGUUGCUUCUUUGCGGUUGUGGUUGCCGAAAUCCUUAAGUCCUGGCUGUGGGCGGGAGCUGCAGAGACUCUCUUACUUAGGGGCUUUCUUUAGCUUCUCAGUCUUUGCAGAAGAUGAUGUUAAAGUGGUUGAAAAAUACUUCUCAGGGCCUGCCAUUACCCUGGAAAACACUCGUGUGGUUAGCCAAUCAUUGCAGCAUUACUUAGAGCUCGGAAGGCAAGAGCUUUUUAAGAUUCUGCAUAGUAUUUUGUUAAAUGGCGAAACCCGUGAGGCUGCUCUCAGUUACAUGGCGGCUGUCGUCAAUGCCAAUAUGAAGAAAGCACAGAUGCAGACAGAUGAUAGAUUGGUGUCUACAGAUGGAUUUAUGCUGAAUUUCCUUUGGGUACUGCAGCAGCUAAGUACAAAAAUCAAGUUAGAAACAGUUGAUCCCACGUAUAUUUUUCACCCAAGAUGUCGGAUUACUCUUCCAAAUGAUGAGACGCGUGUGAAUGCAACGAUGGAAGAUGUGAACGACUGGCUGACUGAACUCUAACUGUAGAAGAUUUGAAAAAUAAUGAAAGCCAAUGGAAAGAUUCCCCACUGGCAACUAGACACCGCGAAAUGCUGAAGCGCUGUAAAACUCAGCUUAAGGUUUGUAUAGCUAAGUGGAAUAAUUAUAGACCAGCCUCAUAGUGAUAAUUUUCCCAACAGAAUAUAUGCCUUGAGUGAGCAGUUUAGUGUCCUCACUUUUUCUUUGUUAUUCUUUUCCCUUCCGAUAAAAUAGUAUAUUUUAAAACUUGUUGAUACCUUACUUAUAUGUGUAUAUAAUUAUUUCAGUCUCAGGACAGAAUAUGGAUAGAUAUGCUUCUGCUGUGACUAUGAAUUCUUAAUGGGUUUUAUGAUUCUCAGUUUAACAUCACCUCCCUUGGCUGGGCGCAGUGGCUCACACCUGUAAUCCCAGCACUUUGGGAGGCCUAGGCGGGUGGAUCACGAGGUCAGGAGAUGGAGACCAUCCUGGCUAACACGGUGAAACCCUGUCUCUACUAAAAAUACAAAAAAAAAUUAGCCAGGCGUGGUGGCGGGCACCUGUAGUCCCAGCUACUCAGGAGGCUAAGGCAGGAGAAUGCCAUGAACCCGGGAGGCAGAGCUUGCAGUGAGCCAAGAUCACGCCACUGCAGUCCAGCCUGGGCGACAGAGCGAGACUCCGUCUC